GUUUUUGACAGGGAAAGGCAGAGCCAGAGUCAGGGCAGGCCCUGGGCGGGCUCCUAGAGAGCCCAACCACCCUCUAAUAAGGGGUGCUCUCCACCCUAUCUGAGGAGCAAUUGGGAUCUCCUAGGAAGUGAAACUGUUACGUAUGUCUUAUUACAGAAUUUCCAGUGGAGUGAUUCUGGAAGAAAUGUGUAUGGCAUGUUGUGACUGCUAUGUCUCAUGAAAUAUUUACGUUUUUAUGUAACUUUUUUCCAUUUUCAGAUCAUCUUUUAUUUUAACGCAAAAUGACAAUAUAUUUUUCAAUUAAUUUGCCCAAUAUCUGUGUUUAAAUGUUUUCUAAUGCACACACGUGUUUUAAACUCAUUAAAAAAAUAUGACUUAGA
RNAcentral lists this long non-coding RNA (380 nucleotides) under Homo sapiens (human). RNAcentral's name for it is "non-protein coding KCNQ1OT1:7". The record is from RNAcentral. Lineage: Eukaryota; Metazoa; Chordata; Mammalia; Primates; Hominidae.